UCUUCUCAUUCAGGACUGAGGGCUGUGAAGUUCAGUUCUGAGUGGCUAAGGGAUCCCUCAAAGCCACGAGAGGACCCAGAUUUUGUGCUCUUAGCUCCUGAAGCUGAGUUCCCCAAGAAAUCCAUCCUACUGUUUCCUCUACCUGCCAUCAAGAUCUCUGUUCCUGAGGAGGAGCUGGAAAGAGACUCACACAAAACCUCUUGUUUCUUUGGUCUCUACUAUCUUUCCCUGAUCUGUGUUAAGAUUUAGUGUUAAGAUAUAUUAGCUUAGAAACCUAUGAGAGCAGUCAGCUGGGAGAGGGGCUGAGACAUUUUGUGGACUCAGGAACCAGCCUCUUGCCUAGCUGCUGAGGCUUAGUUUAGUUUUAGUUUCUUCCAUUUCCCUUCAACCUUGUGUCUCCCCCUUCCUUUCAAACAAAUCCUUAGAUUAAGUCAAGAUUUCGCUUUGGCCUAUCCUUUCAGCAGGAGGGGAGUUGGGCAAUUUGAGACUGGACUCAAAACUUGAGUCCUGUUUCUUCCUGUGACAAGUCCACGCUAGGACUGUCACACAUUCUCCAUUCGAGGAAGAUACAUUAUAAACCUUCCUCAGAAGGGAAACAGACAUCUCUUCCACUCAGGUUGUGCUCUCUUUUGGUGCUCUAAGGAUUUAGUCUGUUAAAUAUCCCUUGAGUAAAGGAGAGAGAAAGCCACUUUCCUCUCCCUCUGGAGGUUAUCUCAAACCCCUGCUUCAAUUCACCUUAGGGAGGAAAAGAUCCUGACAUCUCCCCUCCAUCAACAAGGCUUACCUCAGUUCCCAUAUUCCCUCACCACUUGAUUCACUCAACUUUCUCCACUGGUAUCACAUCUAACUAGUAGGACAAACCAUCCAACCCCUUCCAUUACAAAAAGAAGGAAAAGCCUUUUUUCAUUUUUACAUUAUCAACAAUGGUUUGAAAAAGAUAGAAGGCAUCAUCAGAGGCAUUUAUGGAUGGGGGAAAAGUGGACCAAAAUGAAAAAUAAUUGAUAGACAUUCCAAUAUAUGAAAAGAACCAGAGUAAGACCCCCUCUAGUGAACUUAGUGAAUCCUCUAUGGAAGAUUGACAGGAUACAGAAGAAUAUUAUAUGGAUGAUAAAACAUGUGUAUUUUGGAGGGAUGAUGGGCAGGGUUAUGAUCUCUCCUAGAGGAAAACCUAGUCACACUGGCAAGAGGACAAUUCAUUCCUUUUUGUUUGUGUUUUGUUUUGUUUUCUCUCUUUUAAAAACUCCUCUCUCCUCACUUUCCUUCUUUCAUAGAAAAAUAAAAAGGAAGAUAAAGCCUCCAUAAUCUAUAUGAAAAAUAAAUAUCCCCAUUUACCAUGUCCAAAAACAUGUAUCAUUCUGCAUUUUAAGUCUAUUACUUCUAUGAGAGGAGAUGAGUGGUGUUUCAUCCUCAGGAGUUUGGACUCAUGAUGUAUCAACUCAUUGAUCAGAACUCUAAAAUCUUUCAAAGUUAUUUGUUUUUACAGUGUUGUUAUUGCAUAAUUUAUUUUCCUGGAUCUACUCACUUUAUUAUGUAUCAUCAGGGCUCUUUCCUGUUCAUUCUUUUAAUUUUUUUUCUCAAAUUGCAUGUAGAUACAAUUUUUAAAUAAUUGUUUUCUGACAUUUUGCAAUACAUAUUCUCUCCCUCCCUCCUUUUCCCCCUCCCAAAAUAGCAGGUAAUGUGAUAUAGGUCACAACUGUGCUGUCAUGCAAUACAUAUUUCUAUGUUUGUCAUGUUGUGAAAGAAGGCACAUAUUACUUAUAUAUGAAAAAAUAUGAAGGAAGUAAAGUGAAAAAAUGGUUUGCUUCAAUCUGCCUUGUAUUUUUGGAAACUGGCCAAUAGAUCACUCUCUUAGGAAGAGUUGCAUAGGGUCUGUAACUAUCAUUUAAUUGAUAUAAAGAAUGCCUGGUAAGAAAAUUUCUUUUCCUAGAACAGAUACACUGUUUCCCCUGCAAUUUAGAAGUCUUAGAGAAUUGCCACGGGGAAAGAGAAAUUAAAUGACUUGCCCAGAGUUGUACAGUUACCAUGUUUCAGAGGAGGGGCUUAAUUCCAGGUUUUAUUGAACAGUAUUAAUCAAUGAAAAUUUCCUUAAGGGAGAAGGAUAAUUUAUGGAUUACCUCAAAAUGUCAAUAAUUUCCAAACUGUGAGUAUCUGGAGUUAUAGACCUACAAAGCAUAUCACAAUAACAUUUUGAAUUACUAUCAUAUUAUUGCACACAUUUUACAGAUGGCAAAAAAGACCUAUAUCAAAUGUUUGGCUAUAGCUGUUAUUGCCACUGCUAAUUUUCAGAGGUGGGGAUCUAUACCAGCCUUCUCCAGACUUAAUGUUCUUUCUAUUACAACCACACUACCUCUAUCAAUAAAUUAUUUAUUUUCCAGAGUGGGUAGCAAAUCUCUCAGGAAAAAAUAAAGGACUAAAUAUCAGAUGGGGAUUACAUCUUUUCCAAAAGGCAAACUAAGAUUUAAGUAUGUGAAAUUGACCUAAAAAAAUAAUUUGAAGUCUCCUCCACUCUUUGUUUGCAGUCCCAACAAGACAGAGGACAAGUGCUAUGGAACAAGAGUUUAUCAUCCCUAGAAGUGUUUGAGUGGAAUUUGAAAGACAAUUCAUUGAGGAUGCCAUAGAUAAAAUUCACUCUUCUGUGAGGGGUUUGGACUAGAUUACAGAUCAGAUAUCACAUCUUCAAGGAAUUCUCCCAUCUAUCCUCCCAACAGCUAGGUGAGUGCAUCAUCUCUACUUCUCUACCCCAGUUUCAGUGCUAGCAAGUAGAUAAAGAGUGAGAAACCUGGACACACAGUCGCGGAGCUCCCAAAAUUGAGAAAUCAUGGUAAGAGAAUGGAAAGGAACUAUGUGACCCUACUACUACAGCUUGGUAAUAAAUCAGAUAUGCCAUCAUCUAUCUGUUUCUCAUGGCCAGUGGUACAAUACAGUUGAAUUAAAAGAUCCAUCUAUUAAGACAAUUUUUAGAUAUUUUCCUGACUCCUAUGAUAAUUACGGGGAUAAAAUGAAGAAGUCCAAUCAGACACCUACUUUGUGUGUAAGGCAUGAUGCUAUGUGCUGGGAAUACAAAGAUAAAAUGAAGAAAACAAUCUCUAACCUCAAAGGAAAUGUAUUCCACUAUAAUUUGUUCACAGAUAAGCACAUAUGUAAUCAUCUAAGGGGCGGGGGAAGAAGAGUAAUAAUUAUUUUAUGUGUUAGGCAUACAAAGUCAAGAAAAGGAAUAGAUUCUACCCUCAAGGAACAUAUAUUCUUCUGUAUCUAUUUGAAGAAAAGCAUAAGUGUGAUCAUUUUAAAAGGACAAGGAGAACACUAACAAUGAAGUAAAUAAAAAAAAGCUUCUAAAGUGAGAAUUGAAGAAUGCUUUGGUAGCUAGGUCAUGAUAUAGUGCUUGGAAUCAGGAAGAUGUCUUUUCUGAGUUCAAAUCUUCCCUAGACACUUAUUAUUUGUGUGAGCCUGGGCAACUUAUUUAAUACUGUUUGCCUCAGUUUCCUCAUCUAUAAAAUGAGCUAGAGAAAGAAAUGUCAAACCACUCCAGUAUCUUUGCCAAGAAAAUCCCAAAUAGGGUCAUGUAGUAUUGGACACAGCUGAAAUGAGUCAACAACAAUAAGGGAUUCUAAGAGACAGAAGGAGAAUUGAGGAUUUUGCAGGUUGUGAGUGGAGCAGUGAUGACUUCAGAAUUCCUGUGUUCAUAGAUCUAGGAUUAGAAUAAACUUCAGGGGGCAACUAAGAGGCUCAGUGAAUGAGUGCAACACUUGAAGAUGGGAGGUCUUAGAUUCAAAUCUGAUCUCAGAUACUUCUUAGCUUUGUGACCCUGGGCAAGUCCCUUACUACCCCAUAAUACCUAGUAUUGAUUCCAAGAUAGAAAGUAAGUGUCAUUUUAAAAAAGAAGAAAGAUUCCAAGAGCUAUUUAGUCCAACCCCCUCAUUUUUAAGAUGAGGAAAAAAAUACCUAGAGUGAUUAAAUGAUUCACCCAAGGUCCCACACAUAGUUAGUAAGCCUCAUAAAUAGUAUCUGAAUUCAAGAUCUCUGACACCAGAAUCAGCAUUCUUUCCAUUAAACUAGAAAGUCAAGCAAGUCAAUUUGGUAGAGUACAUGAAUGGGGACUGAUGUACAGUAAGUCUGGAAAGAGAGUCAAAUUGUGGAAACUUUUAAAUACCAAGCAGAAUAAGUUUGUAGUUUUACCCAGAGCAACAGGGAGACAAUGAAGUUCCUUGAGCAGAAUAAUAACACCAACAGACUUGUGCUCUAGAAAAGCUGUUAUAUUAAAAUGCUUUCUGACAUGUUAAACCCA
Monodelphis domestica (gray short-tailed opossum) is the source of this 4285-nucleotide non-coding RNA. NCBI's taxonomy places the organism in Eukaryota, Metazoa, Chordata, Mammalia, Didelphimorphia, Didelphidae. The record is from RefSeq and is a predicted model, not a curated record.